This is a non-coding RNA of Trichonephila clavipes, 72 nucleotides long. The record is from the annotation of a GenBank genome assembly. NCBI's taxonomy places the organism in Eukaryota, Metazoa, Arthropoda, Arachnida, Araneae, Nephilidae.
GUACCCAUGGUGUAGUGGUUAUCACAUUUGCCAAACACGCUAAGAUUGCAGGUUUGAAGCAUGUUGGGCACA